UCGGGAAUUUUGGGCAAUGGGCGAAAGCCUGACCCAGCAACGCCGCGUGAAGGAUGAAGUAUUUCGGUAUGUAAACUUCGAAAGAAUAGGAAGAAUAAAUGACGGUACUAUUUAUAAGGUCCGGCUAACUACGUGCCAGCAGCCGCGGUAAUACGUAGGGACCAAGCGUUGUUCGGAUUUACUGGGCGUAAAGCGUGCGCAGGCGGUCUUGCAAGACAGAUGUGAAAUCCCCGGGCUUAACCUGGGAACUGCAUUUGUGACUGCAAGGCUGGAGUACGGCAGAGGGGGAUGGAAUUCCGCGUGUAGCAGUGAAAUGCGUAGAUAUGCGGAGGAACACCGAUGGCGAAGGCAAUCCCCUGGGCCUGUACUGACGCUCAUGCACGAAAGCGUGGGGAGCAAACAGGAUUAGAUACCCACGUAGUCCCUGAGCGGGCUGGCAAGGCGCAU
This 447-nucleotide ribosomal RNA is filed under the name uncultured bacterium. RNAcentral's name for it is "bacterial SSU rRNA". It matches the Rfam family "Bacterial small subunit ribosomal RNA", at positions 355 to 825 of the family's 1533-position model. The record is from RNAcentral.